AACGAACGCUGGCGGCAUGCCUAACACAUGCAAGUCGAACGAGACCUUCGGGUCUAGUGGCGCACGGGUGCGUAACGCGUGGGAACCUGCCCUUAGGUUCGGAAUAACUCCCCGAAAGGGGUGCUAAUACCGGAUAAUGUCUUCGGACCAAAGAUUUAUCGCCUUUGGAUGGGCCCGCGUUGGAUUAGCUAGUUGGUAGGGUAAAAGCCUACCAAGGCGACGAUCCAUAGCUGGUCUGAGAGGAUGAUCAGCCACACUGGGACUGAGACACGGCCCAGACUCCCACGGGAGGGAGGCGUGGGGAAUAAUGGGCAAUGGGCGAAAGCCUGAACCAGGCAUGGCGCGUGAGUGAUGGAGGCCUUAGGGUUGUAAAGGUCUUUUACCCGGGAUGGUAAUGACAGUACCGGGAGAAUAAGCCCCGGCUAACUCCGU
This 432-nucleotide ribosomal RNA is filed under the name uncultured bacterium. RNAcentral's name for it is "partial 16S ribosomal RNA". It matches the Rfam family "Bacterial small subunit ribosomal RNA", at positions 29 to 506 of the family's 1533-position model. The record is from RNAcentral.